GACGAACGCUGGCGGCGUGCUUAACACAUGCAAGUCGAACGGAGUGGCGAACGGGUGAGUAACACGUGGGUGAUCUGCCUUGCACUUCGGGAUAAGCUUGGGAAACUGGGGCUAAUACCGGAUAGUGCAAGAUGAGCUCGCGGCCUAUCAGCUCGUUGGUGGGGUAUUGGCUGACCAAUGCGUCGACGGGUAGCCGGCCUGAGAGGGUGUACGGCACCAGUGGGAUGGCGAUACGGCCCAGACUGCUACGGGAGGCAGGAGUGGGGACGUUUGCACAAUGGGCGGAAGCCUGAUGCAGCGACGCCGCGUGGGGGAUGAAGGCCUUCGGUUUGUAAACUCCUUUCGACAGGGACGCGGUACCUGUAUAAGAAGCACCGGCUAACUACGUGCCAGCAGCCGCGGUAAUUC
This 408-nucleotide ribosomal RNA is filed under the name uncultured bacterium. RNAcentral's name for it is "partial 16S ribosomal RNA". It matches the Rfam family "Bacterial small subunit ribosomal RNA", at positions 28 to 526 of the family's 1533-position model. The record is from RNAcentral.